GUAGCUCAGUGGUAGAGCG
RNAcentral lists this unclassified non-coding RNA (19 nucleotides) under Chlamydomonas reinhardtii. RNAcentral describes it as "small RNA Cre_2002". Lineage: Eukaryota; Viridiplantae; Chlorophyta; Chlorophyceae; Chlamydomonadales; Chlamydomonadaceae. The record is from RNAcentral.